RNAcentral lists this ribosomal RNA (736 nucleotides) under uncultured bacterium. Its description in RNAcentral is "bacterial SSU rRNA". It matches the Rfam family "Bacterial small subunit ribosomal RNA", at positions 8 to 722 of the family's 1533-position model. The record is from RNAcentral.
AGAGUUUGAUCAUGGCUCAGGACGAACGCUGGCGGCGUGCCUAACACAUGCAAGUCGAGCGAGGCGGAACCUUCGGGUUCCAGUCGAGCGGCGGACGGGUGAGUAACACGUGAGCGACCUGUCCUCGUACGGGGGACAACCCGGGGAAACCCGGGCUAAUACCGCAUGGUCGGGAACCCUGCAUGGGGAUCCCGGGAAAGAUGGCCUCUGUUUCAUGCUAUCGUGCGGGGAGGGGCUCGCGGGCUAUCAGCUUGUUGGUGAGGUAACGGCUCACCAAGGCUACGACGGCUAGGGGGUCUGAGAGGACGACCCCCCACAUUGGGACUGAGACACGGCCCAGACUCCUACGGGAGGCAGCAGUGGGGAAUUUUGGUCAAUGGCCGAAAGGCUGAACCAGCGACGCCGCGUGCGGGAGGAAGCCCCUCGGGGUGUAAACCGCUGUCGGGAGGGACGAAACCGGAAAGGCUGAACACGCCUUUCCCUUGACGGUACCUUCAAAGGAAGCGCCGGCUAACUCCGUGCCAGCAGCCGCGGUAAUACGGAGGGCGCAAGCGUUGUUCGGAUUUACUGGGCGUAAAGCGCGCGCAGGCGGAGGCGUAAGUCGGGAGUGAAAUUCCGGGGCUCAACCCCGGAACUGCUUCCGAGACUGCGUUUCUAGGGACCGGUAGGGGCGGGUAGAAUUCCCGGUGUAGCGGUGGAAUGCGUAGAUAUCGGGAAGAACACCGGUGGCGAAGGC